GAUGAACGCUGGCGGCGUGCCUAAUACAUGCAAGUCGAGCGAACGGACGAGAAGCUUGCUUCUCUGAUGUUAGCGGCGGACGGGUGAGUAACACGUGGAUAACCUACCUAUAAGACUGGGAUAACUUCGGGAAACCGGAGCUAAUACCGGAUGAUAUUUCGAACCGCAUGGUUCAAAAGUGAAAGACGGUCUUGCUGUCACUUAUAGAGGGAUCCGCGCUGCAUUAGCUAGUUGGUAAGGUAACGGCUUACCAAGGCAACGAUUCAUAGCCGACCUGAGAGGGUGGUCGGCCACACUGGAGCUGAGACACGGUCCAGACUCCUACGGGAGGCAGCAGUAGGGAAUCUUCCGCAAUGGGCGAAAGCCUGACGGAACAACGCCGCGUGAGUGAUGAAGGUCUUCGGAUCGUAAAACUCUGUUAUUAGGGAAGAACAUAUGUGUAAGUAACUGUGCACAUCAUGACGGUACCUAAUCAGAAAGCCACGGCUAACUACGUG
RNAcentral lists this ribosomal RNA (497 nucleotides) under uncultured bacterium. RNAcentral describes it as "partial 16S ribosomal RNA". It matches the Rfam family "Bacterial small subunit ribosomal RNA", at positions 28 to 507 of the family's 1533-position model. The record is from RNAcentral.